AGCGAACGCUGGCGGCAGGCCUAACACAUGCAAGUCGAACGAACUCUUCGGAGUUAGUGGCGGACGGGUGAGUAACACGUGGGAACGUGCCUUUAGGUUCGGAAUAACUCAGGGAAACUUGUGCUAAUACCGAAUGUGCCCUUCGGGGGAAAGAUUUAUCGCCUUUAGAGCGGCCCGCGUCUGAUUAGCUAGUUGGUGAGGUAAAGGCUCACCAAGGCGACGAUCAGUAGCUGGUCUGAGAGGAUGAUCAGCCACAUUGGGACUGAGACACGGCCCAAACUCCUAUGGGAGGCAGCAGUGGGGAAUCUUGCGCAAUGGGCGAAAGCCUGACGCAGCCAUGCCGCGUGAAUGAUGAAGGUCUUAGGAUUGUAAAAUUCUUUCACCGGGGACGAUAAUGACGGUACCCGGAGAAGAAGCCCCGGCUAACUUCGUG
RNAcentral lists this ribosomal RNA (433 nucleotides) under uncultured bacterium. RNAcentral describes it as "partial 16S ribosomal RNA". It matches the Rfam family "Bacterial small subunit ribosomal RNA", at positions 29 to 507 of the family's 1533-position model. The record is from RNAcentral.